AAUGGAUAUCUUGGCUCUUGCAUCGAUGAAGAGCGCAGCGAAAUGCGAUACGUGGUGCGAAU
Molecule: ribosomal RNA, 62 nt
Filed under: Corybas royenii
Lineage: Eukaryota; Viridiplantae; Streptophyta; Magnoliopsida; Asparagales; Orchidaceae
Description: 5.8S ribosomal RNA
Rfam family: 5.8S ribosomal RNA
About the family: 5.8S ribosomal RNA (5.8S rRNA) is a component of the large subunit of the eukaryotic ribosome. It is transcribed by RNA polymerase I as part of the 45S precursor that also contains 18S and 28S rRNA. Functionally, it is thought that 5.8S rRNA may be involved in ribosome translocation.
Source: RNAcentral